This 211-nucleotide long non-coding RNA is filed under the name Oryza brachyantha (malo sina). Its description in RNAcentral is "long non-coding RNA (OBRA_LNC000679)". Lineage: Eukaryota; Viridiplantae; Streptophyta; Magnoliopsida; Poales; Poaceae. The record is from RNAcentral.
ACCGGCGGCCACUGCCGGGGCUUCCGCCGCCGCUGCUUCUGCACCAAGCCGUGCUAGCCGAAUCCGAUGAACCAGCCACUGCGCUGCGCCUGCCGUGUACGUACGCUCGUAUGUUUCCGUUGUGUGUGUCCAUGAAUAAAAACUAUAUACUGUGUGGUAAUAUAUGUUGAUUUCCCGUCUGAUUAAUAUAUGUUGAUCCUUUCGUCCUCGA